UGUCCAACCUGCACAAGAAUGCCAAGAAGUCCUUCUCGAAGACGAUUAAGGACAUGUACAAGCACUACAACGAGAGAUCUGGGUUGCUUCUUUGUGGCUUCCAAACUUGGAAAUGUUUGUCUGAAAGUUAGUUUAGUUUCUUUUUUGUGGAUUCACAGCUUCUCACAUGUACCAUCCUCUUAGACAUUUAGGUUUCCAAAGAAAUUAAAUGAAGAUAUGGUGGUAUGGUCUCAA
Long non-coding RNA from Triticum dicoccoides, 234 nucleotides. RefSeq lists it as uncharacterized. NCBI's taxonomy places the organism in Eukaryota, Viridiplantae, Streptophyta, Magnoliopsida, Poales, Poaceae. The transcript is spliced from 2 exons. The record is from RefSeq and is a predicted model, not a curated record.